GUGAUUUCGCCAGCAGACUUGGAGCAAGUUGGAUGUGCCACACGAAGAGAUGACCGAGCUGCUGGUGGUGACGCACGUCUUUAAUCCCAGCACUCGGGAGGCACAGGCAGGAGGAUCUCUGCUUGCAAUCCAAAGAUAGUCCAACAAGAAAGCUUGCUACACCUUCCCAGUCCCCAGAGCCAAACUGAGGAGGGGAUUAAGCCAUGUGGUGUCUUGCCUUCAACUCCAGGCUGCUACAAAGAUCAAGUCCCAGCUGGGCGCUGUGGCUAUCCUGGAACGCGCUCUGUAGACCAGGCUGGAUCUUGAACUCAUGAAGAUCCACCUGCCUCUGCCUUCCGAGUGCUGGGAUUAAAGACGUGUGCCACUACUGCCCAGCCUGUCAUUUCUAUUAAAGGGUUAAAUGAGACAAAGGCAA
Molecule: long non-coding RNA, 415 nt
Organism: Peromyscus leucopus (white-footed mouse)
Lineage: Eukaryota; Metazoa; Chordata; Mammalia; Rodentia; Cricetidae
Exons: 2
Source: RefSeq, a predicted model, not a curated record